UACAGAGGGUGCAAGCGUUAAUCGGAAUUACUGGGCGUAAAGCGCACGUAGGUGGUUGAGUAAGUUUGAUGUGAAAGCCCUGGGCUUAACCUGGGAAUUGCGUUGAAAACUGCUUAACUUGAGUCGGAUAGAGGGCAGUGGAAUUUCCGGUGUAGCGGUGAAAUGCGUAGAGAUCGGAAAGAACAUCGGUGGCGAAGGCGGCUGCCUGGGUCCAGACUGACACUGAGGUGCGAAAGCGUGGGGAGCAAACAGG
This 253-nucleotide ribosomal RNA is filed under the name uncultured bacterium. Its description in RNAcentral is "partial 16S ribosomal RNA". It matches the Rfam family "Bacterial small subunit ribosomal RNA", at positions 524 to 776 of the family's 1533-position model. The record is from RNAcentral.